RNAcentral lists this long non-coding RNA (1317 nucleotides) under Scleropages formosus (Asian bonytongue). RNAcentral's name for it is "lncRNA (ENSSFOG00015024909.1)". The record is from RNAcentral. Lineage: Eukaryota; Metazoa; Chordata; Actinopteri; Osteoglossiformes; Osteoglossidae.
GUUAUUAUAACAAAUGAAAGCACUUUUAAAAAUACAGCUUUCUCACUUAAAUCUGCUCAGGUUGUUUUUUUUACUGGCAAAUAGUGAAAAUCCUGUUCGUAUUAAUUUUGAUCGAAGAUGUGCGCGCUUGCAUGCCUAUAUUUAUAACGUUUAAGGACUGCGGCUAUAAUUCCACCUCAAGGCUCCGUCGCUGGGUGCCGGUCGGGGGACGUUGCAUGUCUACGCACUUUUUUCAGAAAGUUUCAUUUGAAGGUAAAAAGUCUUGGGAGUACGGCACCGUUGGCAUUAAAAACAUUGUCCUAAGAACAUAUUUCCGGAAUGUACUUCCUUUUGUCUGGAAAUUAUUUCAUACGUUGACCACAGGAAAGUACUAAUUCCAGCAACGAGGCUGAAGGUCAGCCUCUGAACUUUACCGUAACUCCUGCCAUGUUGAAACCGACCCUGGGUUUAUAAGUAACUGCUGCUCUUUGUGUCAAGGGGACACGUGACUGCUUUUGCCGCACCCCAGUAUUGACGGCGACGCUCGUUCCUGCCGAAGUGGCUAAUUAUGACACACCUGACCUCAUCCGCACGCGAACUGGCCUGGUGUUACCGGUGCGAGUGACGGUGCACUAGUGACCAAAGUGGGUUCUUCACUUGAUUGACAGCAAGCAGAGGCUGCGUUUGGAGGUUCUCGCGGUACUCGUCGACUUCCUGCGCCUUUCAAGUAGACUUUUAUUAAUGUUUCUCAAAGAAAUUUAUAUUAAAACCAAAACACACCGACCAAUGUAUGUUAGGCAAAGCUGAGGUGUGUGUACAGGACACACUGUGGGCGCUUUGGGGAGACAGUGGACUAGAUCUCCGCCGGAUCCUAUACGGGUCCGAUCCUGCGGGACGUGGGGCGCCGUCCCCCGCUGCCCCCUCGCUGUCCGCUGCUGAACUGGAGUCCUUCUUGGAGCACCAUGUGGCUUUAGGAUGUGCGCUUGUAACCGGAAGGUGUUCGGUUCGAAUCCCACUCCCUCCGAAAACAAAAAGCUGCAGUUGGUAAGCUGGAAAAAAAGUUUUGUGUAGCAAGUAAUUAUUGCUGUAAGUCACGUUGAACAAAGUCAUCAUCUAAUAAUAAUAAUAAUAAUGUUUAUACUUCCCUAAACGUUUUUAUUGCUGCGUAUAUUUGGUUUGUAAAGUUUUUACUUUUGCUACCAAGAGAAAAUCGUGCGUGUGGCGAGUAAGAUGAAUGGAAGCAGGAAUAACAGUGAGUGGUUCCCAGCUCCGCUGAGCUGGAUGGAGAUGCUGCGCAGGUGACAGGGCACUCCUGUAAAUCCUUGCUCUUGCUGCCAG